CAAGUCGCACGAGAAAUCCCGGGCAACUGGGAGAGUAAAGUGGCGAACGGGUGAGUAGCACGUGGGUAAUCUACCCUGAAGUUGGGAAUAACACCUCGAAAGGGGUGCUAAUACCCAAUAACAUCCCCGGGACCCCGGUCCUGAGGAUCAAAGAUGGCUGAGGCUUGCAAGCUAUUGCUUUAGGAUGAGCCCGCGCACCAUUAGCUAGUUGGUGGGGUAACGGCCCACCAAGGCCGUGAUGGUUAGCUGGUCUGAGAGGAUGGCCAGCCACACUGGAACUGAGAUACGGUCCAGACUCCUACGGGAGGCAGCAGUGAGGAAUCUUGCGCAAUGGGGGCAACCCUGACGCAGCAACGCCGCGUGAGUGAUGAAGGCCUUCGGGUCGUAAAGCUCUGUCAGAUGGGAAGAAAGUUCCGGGCGUGAACAGUUCCCGGGAUAGACGG
This 443-nucleotide ribosomal RNA is filed under the name uncultured bacterium. Its description in RNAcentral is "bacterial SSU rRNA". It matches the Rfam family "Bacterial small subunit ribosomal RNA", at positions 58 to 475 of the family's 1533-position model. The record is from RNAcentral.